GACGAACGCUGGCGGCGUGCUUAACACAUGCAAGUCGAACGAUGAACCCGGAGCUUGCUCCGGCGGAUUAGUGGCGAACGGGUGAGUAACACGUGAGUAACCUGCCCUUGACUCUGGGAUAACUGCUAGAAAUGGUAGCUAAUACCGGAUACGACCCUCGGUGGCAUCACCAGGGGGUGGAAAGAAUUUCGGUCAAGGAUGGACUCGCGGCCUAUCAGCUAGUUGGGGAGGUAACGGCUCACCAAGGAGACGACGGGUAGCCGGCCUGAGAGGGUGACCGGCCACACUGCGACUGAGACACGGCCCGUACUCCUACGGCAGGCAGCAGUGGGGAAUAUUGAACAAUGGGCGCAAGCCUGAUGCAGCAACGCCGCGUGAGGGAUGACGGCCUUCGGGUUGUAAACCGCUUUUAGUAGGGAAGAAGCGAAAGUGACGGUACCUGCAGAAAAAGCACCGGCUAACUACGUGCCAGCCGCCGAGGUAA
Molecule: ribosomal RNA, 484 nt
Filed under: uncultured bacterium
Lineage: Bacteria
Description: partial 16S ribosomal RNA
Rfam family: Bacterial small subunit ribosomal RNA
Source: RNAcentral